AUUGAACGCUGGCGGCAGGCCUAACACAUGCAAGUCGAGCGGAUGAAGUGAGCUUGCUCCUGGAUUCAGCGGCGGACGGGUGUGUAAUGCCUAGGAAUCUGCCUGGUAGUGGGGGAUAACGUCCGGAAACGGGCGCUAAUACCGCAUACGUCCUGAGGGAGAAAGUUGGGGAUCUUCGGACCUCACGCUAUCAGAUGAGCCUAGGUCGGAUUAGCUAGUUGGUGGGGUAAAGGCCUACCAAGGCGACGAUCCGUAACUGGUCUGAGAGGAUGAUCAGUCACACGGGAACUGAGACACGGUCAAGAGUACUAAGGGAGGCAGCAGUGGGGAAUAUUGGACAAUGGGCGAAAGCCUGAUCCAGCCAUGCAGCGUGUGUGAAGAAGGUCUUCGGAUUGUAAAGAACUUUAAGUUGGGAGGAAGGGCAGUAAGUUAAUACCUUGCUGUUUUGACGUUACCAACAGAAUAAGCACCGGCUAACUUCGUG
Molecule: ribosomal RNA, 484 nt
Filed under: uncultured bacterium
Lineage: Bacteria
Description: partial 16S ribosomal RNA
Rfam family: Bacterial small subunit ribosomal RNA
Source: RNAcentral